UGGGGAAUCUUCCGCAAUGGACGAAAGUCUGACGGAGCAACGCCGCGUGAGUGAUGACGGCCUUCGGGUUGUAAAGCUCUGUUAAUCGGGACGAAAGGCCUUCUUGCGAAUAGUGAGAAGGAUUGACGGUACCGGAAUAGAAAGCCACGGCUAACUACGUGCCAGCAGCCGCGGUAAUACGUAGGUGGCAAGCGUUGUCCGGAAUUAUUGGGCGUAAAGCGCGCGCAGGCGGAUAGGUCAGUCUGUCUUAAAAGUUCGGGGCUUAACCCCGUGAUGGGAUGGAAACUGCCAAUCUAGAGUAUCGGAGAGGAAAGUGGAAUUCCUAGUGUAGCGGUGGAAUGCGUAGAUAUUAGGAAGAACACCAGUGGCGAAGGCGACUUUCUGGACGAAAACUGACGCUGAGGCGCGAAAGCCAGGGGAGCGAACGGGAUUAGAUACCCCGGUAGUCCUGGCCGUAAACGAUGGGUACUAGGUGUAGGAGGUAUCGACCCCUUCUGUGCCGGAGUUAACGCAAUAAGUACCCCGCCUGGGGAGUACGACCGCAAGGUUG
This 550-nucleotide ribosomal RNA is filed under the name uncultured bacterium. RNAcentral's name for it is "bacterial SSU rRNA". It matches the Rfam family "Bacterial small subunit ribosomal RNA", at positions 355 to 896 of the family's 1533-position model. The record is from RNAcentral.